RNAcentral lists this ribosomal RNA (429 nucleotides) under Pseudomonadota bacterium. Its description in RNAcentral is "Proteobacteria bacterium partial 16S ribosomal RNA". It matches the Rfam family "Bacterial small subunit ribosomal RNA", at positions 355 to 776 of the family's 1533-position model. The record is from RNAcentral. Lineage: Bacteria; Pseudomonadati; Pseudomonadota.
UGGGGAAUAUUGGACAAUGGGCGAAAGCCUGAUCCAGCCAUGCCGCGUGUGUGAAGAAGGUCUUCGGAUUGUAAAGCACUUUAAGUUGGGAGGAAGGGCAGUAAGCGAAUACCUUGCUGUUUUGACGUUACCGACAGAAUAAGCACCGGCUAACUCUGUGCCAGCAGCCGCGGUAAUACAGAGGGUGCAAGCGUUAAUCGGAAUUACUGGGCGUAAAGCGCGCGUAGGUGGUUCGUUAAGUUGAAUGUGAAAGCCCCGGGCUCAACCUGGGAACUGCAUCCAAAACUGGCGAGCUAGAGUAGGGCAGGGGGUGGGGGAAUUUCCUGUGUAGCGGUGAAAUGCGUAGAUAUAGGGAGGAACACCAGUGGCGAAGGCGACCACCUGGGCUCAUACUGACACUGAGGUGCGAAAGCGUGGGGAGCAAACAGG